This 619-nucleotide ribosomal RNA is filed under the name uncultured archaeon. RNAcentral's name for it is "partial 16S ribosomal RNA". The record is from RNAcentral.
AAUGAACCGCAGGCUUCAUCCCUUGUGGUGCUCCCCCGCCAAUCCUUUAAGUUUCAUACUUGCGUACGUACUUCCCAGGCGGCAGACUUAACGGCUUCCCUGCGGCACUGCAUUGGCCACAAGCCAAUGCAUCACCGAGUCUGCAUCGUUUACAGCUGGGACUACCCGGGUAUCUAAUCCGGUUUGCUCCCCCAGCUUUCAUCCCUCACCGUCGAACGUGUUCUGGUACACCGGCUUCGCCACAGGUGGUCUUCAAUAGAUCAAAGGAUUUUACCCCUUCCUAUCGAGUACCGUGUACCUCUCCCACUCCCUAGCUGCACAGUAUUUUCGGCGGCCUAUACGUUAAGCGCAUAGAUUUAACCGAAAACUUAUGCAACCGGCUACGGAUGCUUUAGGCCCAAUAAACCUCCUGACCACUCGAGGUGCUGGUUUUACCGCGGCGGCUGACACCAGAACUUGCCCACCCCUUAUUCACCAGUGAUUCUACAACUGACAAAAGACUCCUUUAGCAGGAGACACUCGGAUUAACCUUGUCGUGCUUUCGCACAUUGCAAAGGUUUCUCGCCUGCUGCGCCCAUAGGGCCUGCGUCCGUGUCUCAGUACCAUCUCCGGGCCCUCC